Molecule: long non-coding RNA, 4796 nt
Organism: Vespa crabro (European hornet)
Lineage: Eukaryota; Metazoa; Arthropoda; Insecta; Hymenoptera; Vespidae
Exons: 3
Source: RefSeq, a predicted model, not a curated record
CACGUAAAGUGAGUAAGUUGAAAUAGUUUUGGAAUAAUCGUUAUUAUUAUUAAUCGUUAUUAUAUUAUAUGGAAUAAUCGUAUUGUAAUAAAUGAUUUUUUUUUUUUUUUUGAUUUAUUUGAUGGCCAAAAAAAUUUUAUUUUGUCAUUUAAUAAUAUUAAAUGAUGAAAAUUAGAGAAAUUUAUUAUGAAUAUAAUUAGUGGUAAUUCCAAUGAGUGCUUUGACACUUAAAUUUUCAAAGAAAAAUUUCAAUAAGUGAAGUUAAUCGUUUUGGCAUUUGUAUGAACGGCACAUAUGUUCUAUUGGAAUAUCUAUAUCGAUAAGAAUUAAGUAAUUCUGAUAAAAUUCAGUUUCUUUUAAAGGAAUUAUUAUAAAAAAUUCAUGUCGAACGUGAAGAAGAAUAUCUAUUGAUCUUUCUUUCUUUUUUUCUUAAUGUCCUCGGACAAUCGUUGUUUCAACGCGAGGAAACAAUGCAAAAAUAAAAAUACCAAAAGUUUUUUUUUUAUUUCAUUAUAUUUUCGUUAUUAUAACGAACAUGAUAUCGACAUAAAGGUACGGAAUGAAAAGUCACAGGUAGAAUAACAUGUAGAAAAGACAUUAAACUUUACUACAACUAAUAACACGAGCGACGUUUAAGCCGCUUUAUUUUAACUGCUCUCUGUUAAAAGCUUCUUCUAGUAUCCGACAUCGCAUGAAGACAAUUUUUUCUUAUUGAAUAAUGUUUUUCAUCUGUGCCAUGGCGUAUAACCAUUUUCUUUUCUUUUUUUUUUUUUUUUUUUUUUAAUUUCAAGUUACUCGGCUUAAAAACUUGUUUCCGGAGGUAGCAUUUACGACGAUUGUUACUGCUUUGUAAAAUAUUAUCUCUUUCAUUUUUAUUUUCAUUGUUAUUAUUAUGUAGGUGACUUGUUAAUGAUUGAUAUAUUAAAACAAAUUUAUUCAUAACUAAAAGCGCAUGUAAAUUAAAUGUAAAUUAAAUUUACGUAGGAAACGAUGCAGAAAUUUUCGUUACAAUCCCUCUCUGCGAAUUGAAAUGACAUUAUUCUUUUAAUAAAUAAUAUAAUUUCAAACAAUUACUGAUGAAGGAAUAAACAUAAAAUACGUAUAAAAUCAAAACAAUCUUAUAACCAUCGUUGUAUCUAAUUGAACUUGAACUUUAUACUCGAAUGAUAGAUACGAGUGGAUAUAAUAAAUAUAAACAAAUGUGCGUGUACGUAUCGAUCGUGUAUCACCUUUAAAAUGUCUUUAGGUGAUUUUCUAUAACAACAUAAACAACGACGACGACGACGACGAUGACGAAGGUGAUCUCUUAGAGAUUAGUAAAGAAGAAUCUUUCGAACAGAUAAGUCAUAAGAUAUCUUAAUUAAAACUUCUAGAAAUACAUCGUACGAGAUAUAUUUUGAGGUGGAUAGUGCGUGAAUGACGAUGUUGCCGAGUUUUACGUGGAAGUUUGUACGAGAAGAGUACGUAAACCAUCGUUGAAUGUACGCACUUAAAGAAAGAUGGAAAGAGAGAGAGAGAGAGAGAGAGAGAAGAAGAGAGAGAGAGAGAGAGCGAGAGAGAGAGAGAGAGAGAAGGAGAAGAGAGUGCUGCCCGUUCGAAGUACUUCGUUCUUGCAGCUACCCCGGUAUUUUAGUAGUUCGCCGAAACGAAGAGCUAUUUUCACCUCAAGAUCGCACACGCCGUACGAUAGCUACGUUGCAGAGGAGCACGGUUUACGGACAUCGCAAUAUGAAGAGAGAAUGAGGUCGACCACUCGGUGAAAUGGGUUAGAGAAGAUGGAUACCGACUGACUACCAUCCAACCAGCAUCCAUGAUCCAUGUCGGUUCGACCAAGUUAGUUCUUUUCAUUGCGAAACAAGUUUUAUGAGAGCACACGACUGAAGAUAAAGAGUACAUAAUACGAACGGAAGACUACGUAAUUCGUUGCUCUGAAAAAUAUAGCGGCCUUUAAAUGAGAUAAGGUUCAAAGAAGUCUUCUACCGAUAUACGUAUGCCGAUAAGCAGAAAAAGAGUGACAGGGUCAAGAUGAAGGUCGUCCGAUGAAAAGAAGAGAAGCGGAGAGAUACGGAAGCGUUUCUUACGCACGGGAAUGAUCCGGAGAUCGAUUUAGCGUGAAUCGAUAACCCUUUGCGGCCGAAGGUGCUCUCUUACGAAUUAAGUCACUUUCGAAAACUGACGCGUAUUUCUACGAAUCCUUAGCGAUGGUAGAUGAAUGAUAAGAAAACGAAGAGAAAGGGAUGGAUGAUGGGGAUACGCUCGUAGCUCGUAAGAGGAACGAUAAAAAAAUAAAAAAAAAAAGAAAAAAAAAGAAAAAGAAAAAGAAAGAAAGAAAGAAAGAAAGGUAAAAAUAUAUGAGAGGAAAGAAGAAAGAUACAUUCUCGCGCGUACGUUCAAGGAUUAUCAUUUCAAUGUCGAUGGUUUAUAGUUUUCCCUUGCUCGUAUCUUUCUUUCUUUCUUUUUUUUUUCUUUUUUUUUUUUUUUUUUUAACAUCGUUUGAAUAUUUAAUCAAUUAACUUAACUCGUGAUUUACAUAGAUGAAAGUUUCGGUCGAUGCUCGUUUUUGAUUUUUCCCAUUGAAUUCAAAGGUUCGAUCCGAUAUCGAUCUCAAUUCGAGAGAGGACAAACGCAAGACAAGACGAAAGAAUCUUAAACCUUCGUCACUACGAGCUCGUCGAGACUUUUACGGAGAAGAACAGGGAGAUAUGAAAAAUGAUGCGAUCGACGUAACGGAGGGAGAAAAAAAAUAAAAGAUGGAAAAAAGAAAUAGAAAAAAAAAAAAAAACAAAAAAGAAAAAAAAAACAAAAAGAAGAAGAAGAAAAAAUAAAGAACAAAGAAUUCCGUAGUGAAGGUGCUUUCGGGGAAAAAUUCUUUGCGUACUUCGCAAAACGAUCGGAAUUCCAUGCGUCCCUUUUCCCAUUGUUGUUACUUUUUAUUUCAUUCUCUUCCUUUUCUCUUUUUCACUUAUUCUUUUUUUCGAUUUCGCUUAAUUCGCUUAACUCAUAUCGUAAUAAUAUCCAAUCGCGUCUAUGAGAAUUUUUUCUCCUAGUAUCGAUACUCGCGAUCGAAAAAAUUGUAUUGUACCAAGUUAAUUUUGUCCAAUGGAUCAAAGUUAAAAGAUCGUCAUUGAAAAUAUAAGUAAUUGCAUAUAAUGUGUAUUAGAAUGCGUAUCAACAAUGACGAUCAUAUUUAUGCGGAUAAAUACGAAGAAGAAAGAAAAUUGCGUGGAAAUUUUGACUCGUCCCUAAUAAAUACUUAGCGUGCAUUUGCGAGCUCAUUAUCCGCGAAUCCCGUUAAUACUCGAUUUCUGUAAUCAACAGGGACAUUAAUAUGCAUUUUCAAAUAAAUGCCGCUUGUCGAGUUUGGAAGACGCAUUUCCGAGCGCUUUUACGUUGGAUUUUCACGGAGGGAUGACCGUUACGCGAAUCGACCAGAUCGCGUCAUAUUUACGCAUUGAAUUUCCGAAAUUACGAUUGCGGUGGGUUUGAUUUAUGCCACGUUUUCGAGCUAUCCGCCGUUAGUCAUAUAACAUUCCUCGUGCCUUCCCGAAUUCUUCCUCAUUCCUCCUCCCGCACCAACCAUCCCUCUCAAUUUUCGUUAUUAUUUCCCACCCUUUCUCUCGUUCGCCCACUUCAUCCUCAUUCUCUUUAACGUGUACGUAUCAUUUUUAUAUAAUUAACUUAAUUAUAAAUCGAGAUUACGAAAGCUGAAAUGGUAAAAAAGAAAAAAGAAAAAAAACCCGAUAUCUAUUCCAAAUAAAGAGAGAGAGAGAGAGAGAAAAAUAGAAGAUAACGAAAAUAAAAUGAUUAUAAUUUUCGAUUGUGUUAUAAGAAAUAACAGAAAGAAAAAAUUGGUUAUAUGACAAUGCGACAGAAAAAUUAGAAAUUGACGUAAUGUACGUGACGCGUAUCGUCUGGACCAGUUUUACGGCACGCGCGCGUAUCUAUGAGACGUCACGAUCGAAGGUGCGCAAAUAACCUUUGAACCGAAAGAGAAGUAGGAGUCUGCGCACAACAGAGUCGAUUUCCGGUCCUCUGUGAAUACGCACGAGACCGUACUAGGAAGCAGUUCUCUUCGGGAGUACGAAUGGGAAUGAACGAAAAUGAAUUCGUUCAGUCGAAUUUACAUAGAAUCGUAAAUACAAGAGAUUUUAGUACGUAAGAGAAAGACAUUCAAACGGGUUUUUUGUUACUAACGUCAAUUUGCAUCAAAAGCGAUACGUGCUGUCUCUCUCUCUUCCUCUCUCUCUCUCUCUCUCUCUCUCUCUCUCUCUCUCUCUGUGUCUCUUUCGUAAAACGUAACUUUUCACAUGAAACGAAGGAAUUAAGAAAAAAAAAAAAAAAAAAAGAAAAAGUAGAUUUCGAUUAAAUUUUAUUCUAUCUUUAUAUUAUUGCGAUGAAAAAAAAUUUACUUUUCCCUGAUCUAAAGAUAAACUACCGAUCAACCGAUCAUUUAUGAUUGCGCAAAUCGAUUGAUAAUUCAUAAAAAAAAUUAUCGCGUUAUCUAUUAAUAAUAGUACAGAUUGACUUUUAAUGAUUAAUGAAUAACGAUGUUUGAAAGGAAGUGUGUCAGAGAUUCCUACGUUUUACAGCUUUAUAGUGAUAACAUUAUUUGCUUUUAAUGAUAACGAUGCUCUUUUGUUGUCAUCGAACUUGUCGACUUCGAUUUUGUGGAAGACAAUUAUCAAUCGCUUGUUUCGCGAUCUAUUGUCGUGAAAUGAUCUACAUUUAUGUAAUUCUAAAAUGGAGAAAACAGUUAGAGGAAACUAAGAACAAGGAGAGAGAGAGAGAGAGAGAGA